This 62-nucleotide non-coding RNA is filed under the name unclassified sequences. The record is from RNAcentral.
UAUCAACUGCCCUAGCAGACUUUGCCAAGAUGAUAGAUUAUUUCUUUUAGGAGAAAAAAAUG